UACGGAGGGGGCAAGCGUUAUUCGGAAUUAUUGGGCGUAAAGGGCGCGUAGGCGGCUAGAUGUGUCAAAGGUGAAAUCCCUCGGCUCAACUGAGGAACUGCCUUUGAAACUGUCUGGCUUGAGGCCGGGAGAGGGUAGCGGAAUUCCCAGUGUAGCGGUGAAAUGCGUAGAUAUUGGGAGGAACACCAGUGGCGAAGGCGGCUACCUGGGCCGAUACUGACGCUGAGGAGCGAAAGCGUGGGGAGCGAACAGG
RNAcentral lists this ribosomal RNA (253 nucleotides) under uncultured bacterium. RNAcentral's name for it is "partial 16S ribosomal RNA". It matches the Rfam family "Bacterial small subunit ribosomal RNA", at positions 524 to 776 of the family's 1533-position model. The record is from RNAcentral.